UACGGAGGGAGCUAGCGUUGUUCGGAAUUACUGGGCGUAAAGCGCACGUAGGCGGCUUUGUAAGUUAGAGGUGAAAGCCUGGAGCUCAACUCCAGAAUAGCCUUUAAGACUGCAUCGCUUGAAUCCAGGAGAGGUGAGUGGAAUUCCGAGUGUAGAGGUGAAAUUCGUAGAUAUUCGGAGGAACACCAGUGGCGAAGGCGGCUCACUGGUCCGGUACUGACGCUGAGGUGCGAAAGCGUGGGGAGCAAACAGG
RNAcentral lists this ribosomal RNA (253 nucleotides) under uncultured bacterium. RNAcentral's name for it is "partial 16S ribosomal RNA". It matches the Rfam family "Bacterial small subunit ribosomal RNA", at positions 524 to 776 of the family's 1533-position model. The record is from RNAcentral.